Molecule: transfer RNA, 72 nt
Organism: Loxodonta africana (African savanna elephant)
Lineage: Eukaryota; Metazoa; Chordata; Mammalia; Proboscidea; Elephantidae
Rfam family: tRNA
About the family: Transfer RNA (tRNA) molecules are approximately 80 nucleotides in length.
Source: Rfam
GCCCUGGUGGUUCAAUGGUUAAGCGCUUGGCUACUAACCAAAAGGUUGGUGGUUCAAAUCCACCCAGCAGCA